GUUUGACCUCGGAUCAGGUAGGAAUACCCGCUGAACUUAA
Molecule: ribosomal RNA, 40 nt
Filed under: Cryptosphaeria eunomia
Lineage: Eukaryota; Fungi; Ascomycota; Sordariomycetes; Xylariales; Diatrypaceae
Also listed under: 2 other names
Description: partial 28S ribosomal RNA
Source: RNAcentral